CAGGCUGUGACAUGGUGGAUCAAUACAGCAGGGAUAUAAAGCCGGCUGGCUGGCUGCCUGCCUCUGCCUCUCUCUCUCCCUAGCUUCUCUUCCCUUUCUUUCCCGGAGCCAGCCGCACCCAGGCCCCCACCCUUACCCCUACCUCCGAGGGGCCAGCCUCCACCCCAUACUGCCCUACUGCGGGAGAGUUUAGGGAGGCUGAGAGCUUGGAGAGCCAGGAGAGGGGCCUUCUCCCCAAACCCUAGGCCAGAAGUAAGGUGUCACCAAGUCCUCCCCAUAAUCCUUGGCUCCCCGCAGAGCCAGAGUGAGCAGGGGGCAGGAUCGACAGCGAGUCUCGGGUAUCAGCGGGGAGCAUUCGGCCUCCCUACCUACCGACACCCCAGCCAGCAUGGUCACCCCCCACGAGCCGCACACCACAUCACUGGUACCAGAUACACUCGCCCAGUGAGGACACCUGGAGCCUGGCAUGAGACGCUUCCUGCCUGCCUCACAGCUGUGCCCCCCCUCCUCACCCCCUCAGCUUCCCUCUUGACACCUUGUCCCACCUACAGUGUGUCCUCACGGACUCUGGCUUAGGAGAGAACGUCCUGCCUUUCCUGCCCUGCUCUCCCGUCGUCCCCCACCCCAUUUCCCCUGCCGCCCUUCUCAAGAGCUCCCCACAUUUCUCAAACGUCAGACCCCCUCUGAACCCCCUACUGGCCACGUGCCUCAAGAGAAUUGCACUCCCCAGUCACCACCCACCCCCCACCACCACCACCGAAAAAGCUGUCCGGGAGUAGCGGGGGGCAGAGGAAGCCACCUCCCGGUUCUCUGGUUUUCUUCCGAACCCCUUUCCUUCCCGUGCCAGGCCCCGCACCUCCAUUUGGCUAACGAGCUCUUUGUACACCUCCAGGCUCAGAGGAGGAGGAUGGAGGGCUGACAGACAUUCGGACGAGGGCUGACAGACAUUCGAACGAGGGCUGACAGGCAUUCGGACGACGUCCGACAGAACAGCACGAGGAGCGCCUGUUUCGGGAGCACAGAGAGAAGCGGGAGAACAGAAGGCCAGGAGGGGAGACCUGUGCAACCGGACACCGGCACUCAGUGGGGUUCCCAACAGGCCUUGCACAGAGCUCCGGGGGGUUACUAUAAGGUCCUGGAUGGGGGGGGGGGCUCUGAACUCAACAGCCUGCCUUCAUUUUGCCGUGGGACUGUCCGGGAUUCCAGCAACUUAGCGAUCCUAGGCUGCAACAAGAUGCAGCUCAAACCGACGCUGGCCGGACCCGGAGAGCUGGGAAAAUUGUUGGCCCACCUGCUGGUUCGCUGGCCUACCCACAGGCACGGCCAUCCCACUUUUACCUGCCUGAGACAUCCCCACCCAGUCACACAGACUGCUUCACACAGCCCUGGGCUCUUCCAAGCCCCAGCCAUUCAAGCCUUGCCUCCUCACGCCUUUGGGGCUUCCUGCAGGGGAGUGUAGGAGUCUCGGGACACGUGCCUCGUCACCUCUGUGACCUGUGUUUGACCACUGCACGCUUUUGUGCGUGGAGCGGGCAGAAGGGAGGAUGGUGAUUCAGCCCUAUUCCUGCCUUGGCAUCCAGAGGGCAUCAGCCCCGGGGGUCUGUAAGGCCACACUCAUCUGCAAGCCUCCCCCUGGAGCGAAGAACUCCCUCCCAAAGAUACCCCAGAGGCCCCCUCUCUCCUCUGACACCUUGCAGCCCCAGACUUGAUGUAGUCUGUGCCUGAUUCUUCCCCAGCCCGGGGACCCCUCUGCGGCCCCGGACAUCCUUCUGCUUCUCAGUUACUCCAGGCCUAGUACGUGAGGGAUCCCCGGGUGGGGCAGGGGUGCUGUGGCAAUAAAUGGAUGGAUAUGGA
Molecule: long non-coding RNA, 1854 nt
Organism: Mesocricetus auratus (golden hamster)
Lineage: Eukaryota; Metazoa; Chordata; Mammalia; Rodentia; Cricetidae
Exons: 3
Source: RefSeq, a predicted model, not a curated record